RNAcentral lists this ribosomal RNA (497 nucleotides) under uncultured bacterium. RNAcentral describes it as "partial 16S ribosomal RNA". It matches the Rfam family "Bacterial small subunit ribosomal RNA", at positions 28 to 507 of the family's 1533-position model. The record is from RNAcentral.
GAUGAACGCUGGCGGCGUGCUUAACACAUGCAAGUCGAGCGAAAAGACGAGGUUCUUGCUCCUCUCGCGUUACCAGCGGGUGGGUAAGUCACACGUAGAUAACCUAUCUAUAAGGCUGGGAUAACUUAGGCAAGCCGGAGCUAAUACCGGAUAAUAUAUUGAACCGGAGGGUUCAAUAGUGAUAGACGGGUUUGGGGUGACUUAUAGAUGGAUCCGCGUCGCAUUAGGUAGUUGGUAAGGUAACGGCUUACCAAGGCAACGAUGCGUAGCCGACCUGAGAGGGUGAUCGGCCACACUGGAACUGAGACACGGCCCAGACUCCUACGGGAGGCAGCAGUAGGGAAUCUUCGCCAAUGGGCGAAAGCCUGACGGAGCAACGCCGCGUGAGUGAUGAAGGUCUUCGGGUCGUAAAACUCUGUUAGUGGGGAAGAACACAUGUGUAAGUAACUAUGCACUUCUUGACGGUACCUGAUCAAAAAGCCCCGGCUAACUACGUG